This 497-nucleotide ribosomal RNA is filed under the name uncultured bacterium. RNAcentral describes it as "partial 16S ribosomal RNA". It matches the Rfam family "Bacterial small subunit ribosomal RNA", at positions 28 to 507 of the family's 1533-position model. The record is from RNAcentral.
GAUGAACGCUGGCGGCGUGCCUAAUACAUGCAAGUCGAGCGAACAGACGAGGAGCUUGCUCCUUCGACGUUAGCGGCGGACGGGUGAGUAACACGUAGAUAACCUACCUAUAAGACGGGGAUAACUUCGGGAAACCGGAGCUAAUACCGGAUAAUAUUUCGAACCGCAUGGUUCGAUAGUGAAAGAUGGCUUUGCUAUCACUUAUAGAUGGACCUGCGCCGUAUUGGCUAGUUGGUAAGGUAACGGCUUACCAAGGCAACGAUACGUAGCCGACCUGAGAGGGUGAUCGCCCACACUGGAACUGAGACACGGUCCAGACGCCUACGGGAGGCAGCAGUAGGGAAUGUUCCGCAAUGGGCGAAAGCCUUACGGAGCAACGCCGAGUGAGUGAUGAAGGUCUUCGGAUCGUAAAACUCUGUUAUUAGGGAAGAACAAACGUGUAAGUAACUGUGCACGUCUUGACGGUACCUAAUCAGAAAGCCACGGCUAACUACGUG